Molecule: transfer RNA, 65 nt
Filed under: Dipodomys ordii (Ord's kangaroo rat)
Lineage: Eukaryota; Metazoa; Chordata; Mammalia; Rodentia; Heteromyidae
Rfam family: tRNA
About the family: Transfer RNA (tRNA) molecules are approximately 80 nucleotides in length. Their secondary structure includes four short double-helical elements and three loops (D, anti-codon, and T loops). Further hydrogen bonds mediate the characteristic L-shaped molecular structure. tRNAs have two regions of fundamental functional importance: the anti-codon, which is responsible for specific mRNA codon recognition, and the 3' end, to which the tRNAs corresponding amino acid is attached (by aminoacyl-tRNA synthetases). tRNAs cope with the degeneracy of the genetic code in two manners: having more than one tRNA (with a specific anti-codon) for a particular amino acid; and 'wobble' base-pairing, i.e. permitting non-standard base-pairing at the 3rd anti-codon position.
Source: Rfam by way of RNAcentral
GGUGGCUCAGUGGUAGAGUGCUUGCCUUGCAUGCAGGAAGCCCUGGGUUCCAUUCCUCAGCACCA